UUUCCGUAGGUGAACCUGCGGAGGGAUCAUUACAGAGUCCUCGCCCUCGCGGGUAGAUCUCCCACCCACUGUUAUCGUUACUGUGUUGCUUUGGCGGGCCGCCGGGCCCCGCUCGGCCGCCGGCUCCGGCUGGCGCGCGCCCGCCAGAGGCCCAGCAAACUCUGAAUGUUAGUGUCGUCUGAGUACUAUAUAAUAGUUAAAACUUUCAACAACGGAUCUCUUGGUUCUG
Molecule: unclassified non-coding RNA, 229 nt
Filed under: plant metagenome
Description: partial contains small subunit ribosomal RNA, internal transcribed spacer 1, and 5.8S ribosomal RNA
Source: RNAcentral